Molecule: ribosomal RNA, 448 nt
Filed under: uncultured bacterium
Lineage: Bacteria
Description: bacterial SSU rRNA
Rfam family: Bacterial small subunit ribosomal RNA
Source: RNAcentral
GUCCAGACUCCUACGGGAGGCAGCAGUGGGGAAUAUUGCACAAUGGGGGGAACCCUGAUGCAGCGACGCCGCGUGGGUGAAGGAGCGUUUCGGCGCGUAAAGCCCUAUCGGCAGGGAAGAAGGAGGACGGUACCUGACUAAGAAGCCCCGGCUAACUACGUGCCAGCAGCCGCGGUAAUACGUAGGGGGCAAGCGUUAUCCGGAUUUACUGGGUGUAAAGGGGGCGCAGACGGCAGCGCAAGCCAGGAGUGAAAGCCCGGGGCUCAACCCCGGGACUGCAUUUGAAACUGUCAGGCUGGAGUGCAGGAGAGGUAAGUGGAAUUCCUAGUGUAGCGGUGAAAUGCGUAGAUAUUAGGAGGAACACCAGUGGCGAAGGCGGCUUACUGGACUGUAACUGACGUUGAGGCUCGAAAGCGUGGGGAGCAAACAGGAUUAGAUACCCUUGUAC